RNAcentral lists this ribosomal RNA (656 nucleotides) under Barycnemis sp. NL659. RNAcentral describes it as "eukaryotic LSU rRNA". It matches the Rfam family "Eukaryotic large subunit ribosomal RNA", at positions 420 to 809 of the family's 3401-position model. Lineage: Eukaryota; Metazoa; Arthropoda; Insecta; Hymenoptera; Ichneumonidae. The record is from RNAcentral.
CCUGAGAAACCCAAAAGAUCGAAUGGGGAGAUUCAUCGUCAGCGGCUCCGGUGCGUGUGCGGUUCGGGAUUUCGCGGGCGCCUUCUCGGCCUCGCGCGACUCGUCCGCCAUUGUUUUUUUUAUGCCGGAGCUCGUCGACGUGCACUUCUCCCCUAGUAGGACGUCGCGACCCGUUGGGUGUCGGUCUACGACCCGGGUGGGAGUCCGUCGUGCGUCGCGCUUCACGGCGCGUCAUGCGGCAGACCCCCGGAUGUCUGACCGGCUGCCCGGCGGUACUCGCACGGUAUCGGGCCGCAAUCCUUGAACUGCGUCCGGCCCGUCGCAAGCGAGGACAAGUGUUUCUCGGACGUACGGACCUCGUGCCGUCGCCGGGCCUGUCCAGCUGUUGGUAGACGGUGCUCUCGGACUGGCUCUUGAACGAUAUACCGGUCGGCGACGCUACUGCUUUGGGUACUUUCAGGACCCGUCUUGAAACACGGACCAAGGAGUCUAACAUGUGCGCGAGUCAUUGGGAUAUGUAAAGCCUAAAGGCGCAAUGAAAGUGAAGGUCGGCAUUGCGUCGACCGAGGGAGGAUGGGCACCGUCACGAUGCUGUCCCGCACUCCCGGGGCGUCUCGUUCACAUUGCGAGAAGAGGCGCACCCAGAGCGUACACGU